RNAcentral lists this unclassified non-coding RNA (253 nucleotides) under uncultured fungus. Its description in RNAcentral is "partial contains small subunit ribosomal RNA, internal transcribed spacer 1, and 5.8S ribosomal RNA". The stretch from base 1 to 73 matches the Rfam family "Eukaryotic small subunit ribosomal RNA", at positions 1759 to 1831 of the family's 1831-position model. Lineage: Eukaryota; Fungi. The record is from RNAcentral.
GCAAACUUGGUCAUUUAGAGGAAGUAAAAGUCAUAACAAGGUUUCCGUAGGUGAACCUGCGGAAGGAUCAUUAGUGAUUUCGGCCGAGAGGCCUUUGUCCAAUCCACACACAUGUGAACCCGUCGGCGUGGGGGGCGCGAGCCCGCCCGUCGGUCAUAUACAAACAUCAGUGUCAUGAACGUCAUGUAACAGAAACAUAAACAAAACUUUCAACAACGGAUCUCUUGGCUCUCGCAUCGAUGAAGAACGCAGC